Molecule: ribosomal RNA, 467 nt
Filed under: uncultured bacterium
Lineage: Bacteria
Description: partial 16S ribosomal RNA
Rfam family: Bacterial small subunit ribosomal RNA
Source: RNAcentral
GACGAACGCUGGCGGCGUGCUUAACACAUGCAAGUCGAACGGAAAGGCCCUGCUUUUGUGGGGUGCUCGAGUGGCGAACGGGUGAGUAACACGUGAGUAACCUGCCCUUGACUUUGGGAUAACUUCAGGAAACUGGGGCUAAUACCGGAUAGGAGCUCCUGCUGCAUGGUGGGGGUUGGAAAGUUUCGGCGGUUGGGGAUGGACUCGCGGCUUAUCAGCUUGUUGGUGGGGUAGUGGCUUACCAAGGCUUUGACGGGUAGCCGGCCUGAGAGGGUGACCGGCCACAUUGGGACUGAGAUACGGCCCAGACUCCUACGGGAGGCAACAGUGGGGAAUAAUGCACAAUGGGCGGAAGCCAGAUGCAGCAACGCCUCGUGCGGGAUGACGGCCUUCGGGUUGGAAACCGCGUUCGCCUGUGACGAAGCGUGAGUGACGGUAAUGGGUAAAGAAGCACCGGCUAACUACGU